This 502-nucleotide ribosomal RNA is filed under the name uncultured bacterium. Its description in RNAcentral is "partial 16S ribosomal RNA". It matches the Rfam family "Bacterial small subunit ribosomal RNA", at positions 30 to 523 of the family's 1533-position model. The record is from RNAcentral.
AUUGAACGCUGGCGGAAUGCUUUACACAUGCAAGUCGAACGGCAGCGCGGGUGCUUGCACCUGGCGGCGAGUGGCGAACGGGUGAGUAACAUAUCGGAACGUGCCCAGUAAUGGGGGAUAACUAACCGAAAGGUUAGCUAAUACCGCAUACGCCCUGAGGGGGAAAGCGGGGGAUCGAAAGACCUCGCGUUAUUGGAGCGGCCGAUAUCUGAUUAGCUAGUUGGUGGGGUAAAGGCCCACCAAGGCGACGAUCAGUAGCUGGUCUGAGAGGAUGAUCAGCCACACUGGGACUGAGACACGGCCCAGACUCCUACGGGAGGCAGCAGUGGGGAAUUUUGGACAAUGGGCGAAAGCCUGAUCCAGCCACUCCGCGUGAGUGAAGAAGGCCUUCGGGUUGUAAAGCUCUUUCGGCAGGAACGAAACGCUCUAGAUUAAUACUCUGGGGUAAUGACGGUACCUGAAGAAGAAGCACCGGCUAACUACGUGCCAGCAGCCGCCGUAA